RNAcentral lists this ribosomal RNA (444 nucleotides) under uncultured bacterium. RNAcentral describes it as "partial 16S ribosomal RNA". It matches the Rfam family "Bacterial small subunit ribosomal RNA", at positions 339 to 795 of the family's 1533-position model. The record is from RNAcentral.
CUACGGGCCGCUGCAGUGGGGAAUAUUGCACAAUGGGCGCAAGCCUGAUGCAGCAACGCCGCGUGAGGGAUGAAGGCCUUCGGGUUGUAAACCUCUUUUAGCAGGGAAGAAGCGAAAGUGACGGUACCUGCAGAAAAAGCACCGGCUAACUACGUGCCAGCAGCCGCGGUAAUACGUAGGGUGCAAGCGUUGUCUGGAAUUAUUGGGCGUAAAGAGCUCGUAGGCGGUUUGUCACGUCUGCUGUGAAAAUCCAAGGCUCAACCUUGGACUUGCAGUGGGUACGGGCAGGCUAGAGUGCGGUAGGGGAGAUGGGAAUUCCUGGUGUAGCGGUGGAAUGCGCAGAUAUCAGGAGGAACACCAAUGACGAAGGCACAUCUCUGGGCCGUAACUGACGCUGAGGAGCGAAAGCGUGGGGAGCGAACAGGAUUAGAUACCCUGGUAGUC